UACGUAGGGGGCGAGCGUUAUCCGGAAUUACUGGGCGUAAAGCGCACGCAGGCGGUUCGCCAAGUUUGGAGUGACAGUUGUCGGCUCAACCGACAAAGGACUUCAAAAACUGGUGAACUUGAGGACGAGAGAGGAACAUGGAACUCCAGGUGUAGUAGUGAAAGUGACGUAGAUAUCUGGAAGAACACCAAUGGCGAAGGCGGCCUGCUGGGCAGUGGCUGACGCUGAGGCGCGACAGCGUGGGGAGCAAACAGGAUUAGAGUACCCGUUG
This 271-nucleotide ribosomal RNA is filed under the name uncultured bacterium. Its description in RNAcentral is "partial 16S ribosomal RNA". It matches the Rfam family "Bacterial small subunit ribosomal RNA", at positions 524 to 792 of the family's 1533-position model. The record is from RNAcentral.